UUAGUGGCAAACGGGUGAGUAACGCGUGGGAAUCUGCCCAUCUGUGGGGAACAACUUCGGGAAACUGAAGCUAAUACCGCAUACGUCCUUAGGGAGAAAGACUUCGGUCGCUGAUGGAGGAGCCCGCGUUGGAUUAGGUAGUUGGUAGGGUAAUGGCCUACCAAGCCUACGAUCUAUAGCUGGUCUAAGAGGAUGGUCAGCCACACUGGGACUGAGACACGGCCCAGACUCCUACGGGAGGCAGCAGUGGGGAAUCUUAGACAAUGGGGGAAACCCUGAUCCAGCAUGCCGCGUGAGUGAUGAAGGCCUUAGGGUUGUAAAGCUCUUUCAGCUGGGAAGAUAAUGACGGUACCCAGCAGAAGAAGCCCCGGCUAACUCCGUGCCAGCAGCCGCGGUAAU
This 399-nucleotide ribosomal RNA is filed under the name Aeromonas salmonicida subsp. salmonicida 01-B526. RNAcentral describes it as "bacterial SSU rRNA". It matches the Rfam family "Bacterial small subunit ribosomal RNA", at positions 92 to 524 of the family's 1533-position model. Lineage: Bacteria; Pseudomonadati; Pseudomonadota; Gammaproteobacteria; Aeromonadales; Aeromonadaceae. The record is from RNAcentral.